Molecule: small nuclear RNA, 106 nt
Organism: Vulpes vulpes (red fox)
Lineage: Eukaryota; Metazoa; Chordata; Mammalia; Carnivora; Canidae
Source: Ensembl
GUGCUCACUUCAGCAGCACAUGUAUUAAGAUUGGAACGACAUAGAGAAGACUAGCAUGACCCCUGUGCAAGGAUGACACACAAUUCGUGAAGCAUUCCAUAAAAAA